RNAcentral lists this long non-coding RNA (1607 nucleotides) under Medicago truncatula (barrel medic). Its description in RNAcentral is "long non-coding RNA (MTRU_LNC001226)". Lineage: Eukaryota; Viridiplantae; Streptophyta; Magnoliopsida; Fabales; Fabaceae. The record is from RNAcentral.
CUAAACAGCUACAGAACAUUCGUCAGGGUCUACGUGGUGACUCCGUUGUUCUCAUGGGAAAGAACACCAUGAUGAAGCGAUCUGUUCGUAUGCACGCUGAGAAAACUGGCAACAAUGCUUUUCUCAACCUUAUCCCUCUUCUUGUCGUGAGUUUUCUUAUUCUCUUUAGAUUUCGCUGUUUUAUUCAUUCAUGAAUGAAUUUCGAUUGAAUAACGUGUUGUUUUUCUUUUAUUGAUUUUGUGUGAUAAAGCUAAGAUAUUUGGUUAUUUUGUCUUGAUUUCUGUUUUCUUUUGUUACGUUUGGAUUGACCUGUUUGAAUUUAGUUAUUGACAUAAGUGCAGAUUAAUCUGUUUUGAGAGAACUUAUGAAAACAGCUUAUUGUUUAUAUGAAAAAAAGUCUAACUUUAUUUAGCUUGGGUUGUUGAAAUACUAUUAGCACUUGGAACAUGCCCGGAUUGCAAACAAUUCUGUUAAUUCAUAAGUUCCCACUAAUGAAAUUUUUAUCUCAUAAGCUGUUUUUUCAUAAACUACCUUGAUCAUACAUCAAAGCUUAUUUAUUUGCAUAAACUGUUUUGCAUAAUCUCUAAAAUAAGCCAAUCCAAACAAGCCUUUAUGUCAGGACUCACGAGCACUUAUGCUAUAUGCGCUUUUAUAGCGCUUCUGCAGCUAUAAACACUUAAUUUAGUUGUUUAUCCAAAUAGGGUGAUAGUCAUGUCAGUUAGUAUUAAUUUUUAGAAUCACAAUUGACUUUUUAUGUUUUAAUUACUAGACUAUAUUAUGAGGACUUGUUGAUAUUGUUGUUAACUCUUGUGAGGAUUUGUACUGAAUCAGGGAAAUGUUGGUUUGAUUUUCACAAAAGGUGACUUGAAGGAAGUCAGUGAAGAAGUUGCUAAAUACAAGGUGAAGUUACCUUUUCACGGUUAUCAUAUGUUAUGUUUUUUAGUCUGUCAUGUACAAUGUUAUUGUGAUGUUGCUCUGGUUUUUCUGCUGCUUUUAGUUGAUACAUUUAAAUAUGAUCCUUAAAUGUGAAAUCGCCAAUAUAGAAAGGUCUGUUCAUAGAAUUUUUCCAGUAAAAGGUAUCAAUGGCUGUUAAAUUACUUGUUUAGGCAUGGACUAUAUCAUGAUUUGAUUCUUGUUCAUUGUAUACUCUCUGUUUCUCCAUUUUUGUUGUCCCAUCUAGUGAGGUACUGUGGUUGCAAUAUAUCAUUAUCUGUUAUCAUUGAUUGUCAAUGCCCUCAUUAAAAUUUCUGUAAAUAAUGUUUUUGUUUAAUGAAUAGGUUGGAGCUCCUGCCCGUGUUGGUUUGGUUGCUCCAAUUGAUGUCGUUGUUCCUCCAGGCAACACAGGGCUCGACCCAUCUCAGACCUCUUUCUUCCAGGUUUGUUAUCAUCUUCUUUUAAACAUUGAGAUUUACUGUCCUCAUUGUCAAACUUAUGUUUAUUCUCCACUUUAGGUGCUCAACAUCCCAACCAAGAUUAACAAGGGUACUGUGGAAAUCAUUACCCCAGUGGAACUGAUUAAGAAAGGAGACAAGGUUGGAUCUUCUGAAGCUGCAUUGCUUGCCAAGUUAGGUAUUAGGCCCUUUUCAUAUGGGCUUGUGGUCCUUUCU